Molecule: ribosomal RNA, 425 nt
Filed under: uncultured bacterium
Lineage: Bacteria
Description: bacterial SSU rRNA
Rfam family: Bacterial small subunit ribosomal RNA
Source: RNAcentral
GUGAGGAAUAUUGGUCAAUGGGCGGGAGCCUGAACCAGCCAAGUCGCGUGAGGGACGACGGUCCUAUGGAUUGUAAACCUCUUUUGUCGGGGAACAAAGGCGCCCACGGGUGGGCGGAUGAGUGUACCCGAAGAAAAAGCAUCGGCUAACUCCGUGCCAGCAGCCGCGGUAAUACGGAGGAUGCGAGCGUUAUCCGGAUUUAUUGGGUUUAAAGGGUGCGUAGGCGGACGGUCAAGUCAGCGGUAAAAAUGCGGUGCUCAACGCCGUACAGCCGUUGAAACUGGCAGUCUUGAGUGGGCGAGAAGUAUGCGGAAUGCGUGGUGUAGCGGUGAAAUGCAUAGAUAUCACGCAGAACUCCGAUUGCGAAGGCAGCAUACCGGCGCCCUACUGACGCUGAGGCACGAAAGCGUGGGUAUCGAACAGGA